GACGAACGCUGGCGGCGUGCUUAACACAUGCAAGUCGAACGGAAAGGCCCUGCUUUUGUGGGGUGCUCGAGUGGCGAACGGGUGAGUAACACGUGAGUAACCUGCCCUUGACUUUGGGAUAACUUCAGGAAACUGGGGCUAAUACCUGAUAGGAGCUCCUGCUGCAUGGUGGGGGUUGGAAAGUUUCGGCGGUUGGGGAUGGACUCGCGGCUUAUCAGCUUGUUGGUGGGGUAGUGGCUUACCAAGGCUUUGACGGGUAUCCGGCCUGAGAGGGUGACCGGCCACAUUGGGACUGAGAUACGGCCCAGACUCCUACGGGAGGCAGCAGUGGGGAAUAUUGCACAAUGGGCGGAAGCCUGAUGCAGCAACGCCGCGUGCGGGAUGACGGCCUUCGGGUUGUAAACCGCUUUCGCCUGUGACGAAGCGUGAGUGACGGUAAUGGGUAAAGAAGCACCGGCUAACUACGUG
This 468-nucleotide ribosomal RNA is filed under the name uncultured bacterium. RNAcentral's name for it is "partial 16S ribosomal RNA". It matches the Rfam family "Bacterial small subunit ribosomal RNA", at positions 28 to 507 of the family's 1533-position model. The record is from RNAcentral.